This 447-nucleotide ribosomal RNA is filed under the name Triticum aestivum (bread wheat). RNAcentral describes it as "partial small subunit ribosomal RNA". Lineage: Eukaryota; Viridiplantae; Streptophyta; Magnoliopsida; Poales; Poaceae. The record is from RNAcentral.
AUGUUGCAUGAUGUUUCAUCUACUAAUGUUCCCGUUGAGAGUGAACAGCAGCCUAUUGUUCAGGAGCCUACUGUUCAGGUGGAGCAUGUUAUUGAUUCAGGUGAUACAUCUGUCAAUGAAAAUGUUGAUGCACAUGAUGAACCCGUCGUUGAUGAUGAACAUGUCACUCCUACUCCAAAUCAGGCUAUUGUUCCACCCAGUUGGAAUCUUGCAUGUGACAGAGUUAGGUGGGGUACUAAUAAACCUGACAUGUUAAUUGAAGAGUGCAAUAUUGUUUCUUUUGCUUUAUUUGUCGCAGAAGAAAUUGAAGUUAAUUCUGAGCCUCCUUCAUAUUCCGAGGCUAUUAUUUCUAGUGAUAGUAAUAAGUGGAUGACCGCUAUGCAUGAUGAGAUGGAAUCACUUGAAAAGAAUGGCACUUGGGAUUUAGUAAAAUUGCCUAGAGAGAAG